Long non-coding RNA from Frankliniella occidentalis (western flower thrips), 511 nucleotides. RefSeq lists it as uncharacterized. The transcript has 3 exons. NCBI's taxonomy places the organism in Eukaryota, Metazoa, Arthropoda, Insecta, Thysanoptera, Thripidae. The record is from RefSeq and is a predicted model, not a curated record.
CAUACUCGCAAGAGCCGCAGCACGAUACAUUACGUGCCAAGUGUGAGCAGGCAAAGCUGCAACUCAACUCGAGCGCAUGCAAGCAGGAAACACCCUAUUGAUGGUGGCAUAUUGGCUACCAUGCGUCGUCGAAUCUUACGCCGUGCUCCAUAACUCCAGCGGUGUUAUUGAUCCAACUGCUUGAAAUUUGCUUUCUUCGGAUGGAAGUUUUUCGUUUCUGGAAUGGCCGAAAUAGCGUCUGCCAACAAAAAAGGAUUUCAAGACUUGGAGCAGCAGUUAGACCUUGCCGAGGUGCGGUGCGGCACUCUCAGAGGCCAGCUGGCGCACAUGAAGACGCUGUACUCCACGGGCAGUGACGCAUUCCAGCCUAGGGUGAGUGUUUGACGGCCGGGAGGGAAGGGGACGCUAUACGGCCCUACAGGUUGCCUUGUCGCAGCGACCCUUCUGGGACUCGGGGGAGGCCAAGGAGCCGCGCGCGGCCAGCGACCAGGAUAAUGCCCACGUCGGCCAC